RNAcentral lists this long non-coding RNA (277 nucleotides) under Gallus gallus (chicken). The record is from RNAcentral. Lineage: Eukaryota; Metazoa; Chordata; Aves; Galliformes; Phasianidae.
GGGUACUCCCAUGGCCAAGGCUCCGCCUCUGCUCCGCGGAGCCGCGUCCCCGGCUGGGCGAGCCGGCAAUGCUGGGCUGCGUCAGAGCCCUCCCCGCGGUUACAACACUGCGCCCUUUCCCCUCUCUGCAGUGGCCGCUCCUGCUGCCCUUUCCCACAUCACCGCGGGGUGUGGGCACGCAACCGCCACCUCCUCCUGUCCCAUUAUAACCGCCACUGCGGCCCCACGCUGCCUGCUGGGGUUUUUUAAGCAGCUGGCAUGGGAGUGCUGGGCGAAA